Molecule: ribosomal RNA, 484 nt
Filed under: uncultured bacterium
Lineage: Bacteria
Description: partial 16S ribosomal RNA
Rfam family: Bacterial small subunit ribosomal RNA
Source: RNAcentral
AUUGAACGCUGGCGGCAGGCCUAACACAUGCAAGUCGAGCGGAUGAAGGGAGCUUGCUCCUGGAUUCAGCGGCGGACGGGUGAGUAAUGCCUAGGAAUCUGCCUGGUAGUGGGGGAUAACGUCCGGAAACGGGCGCUAAUACCGCAUACGUCCUGAGGGAGAGAGUGGGGGAUCUUCGGACCUCACGCUAUCAGAUGAGCCUAGGUCGGAUUAGCUAGUUGGUGGGGUAAAGGCCUACCAAGGCGACGAUCCGUAACUGGUCUGAGAGGAUGAUCAGUCACACUGGAACUGAGACACGGUCCAGACUCCUACGGGAGGAAGCAGUGGGGAAUAUUGGACAAAGGGCGAAAGCCUGAUCCAGCCAUGCCGCGUGUGUGAAGAAGGUCUUCGGAUUGUAAAGCACUUUAAGUUGGGAGGAAGGGCAGUAAGUUAAUACCUUGCUGUUUUGACGUUACCAACAGAAUAAGCACCGGCUAACUUCGUG